Vicia villosa (hairy vetch) is the source of this 326-nucleotide long non-coding RNA. RefSeq lists it as uncharacterized. NCBI's taxonomy places the organism in Eukaryota, Viridiplantae, Streptophyta, Magnoliopsida, Fabales, Fabaceae. The record is from RefSeq and is a predicted model, not a curated record. The transcript is spliced from 2 exons.
UGAGUUCUCAAAGUUAUCAAUCUUCAUUUCUUUUCAGUGUUUUAUGCAUUACUUUGAUUUUGAUUUCAGGAAUUGCUACUAGUUUGGAUACUCCCGCACAACUAGAUUGUCCUUACGGAAGAAACGGACCACCAGAUGCUUGCUGCAUAGAUGUUUGUAAUUCAAAUUGCGGUACAGAAUGUCUUAGAAAGGGAUUUCAGAAAGGUGGACAAUGUUGGUUUCCACAUGGACAAGAUAAUUGUUGUUGUUUUAUUUAGUGAAUUAUGAUGUAUCAUCACCAUUGAUAAAAAUAAAAAUAGAAAAGGAAUUUUACCUUAUCUUUAAAA